This 4050-nucleotide long non-coding RNA is filed under the name Coffea arabica (coffee). RNAcentral describes it as "long non-coding RNA (CARA_LNC000076)". The record is from RNAcentral. Lineage: Eukaryota; Viridiplantae; Streptophyta; Magnoliopsida; Gentianales; Rubiaceae.
AGAACCCAUCUUCUGAGACUUUCCACAACAAAGAUUGCUAAAUCUUCUACAUGUUAUCGGAGGUGUUUGACAAAAUUGAUGCCCAAAGGCGAUAUGCAAGGGAUUCAAACUAGCCACCAGUUGACAUUAAUGAUGAGAUAUGGGCGAGGCAAAGUCAAGCAUAUCACAAUAUGGGUGGCCAGAGCACGGAGCACGUGGACCUAACUGAUGAAAUGAUCCCUCCUAUGCCUCCAACUGGGAAAUCGGAUGCCAAACAUUCAAAAAGCAAAGGCAAAGGGAAAAGGAAGACACCGGAAUCUUCAUCCACCGGGACGGCGACCUCCCGCCUGGUCUAAAUCGAACCUCCUACAAUAAUGCCAUAUCUUGGAUGGAUGCAACGUUUGCUUCCGAUCGGAGCACCUCCCAUAGCGUAGAUGCCCUACCACCCGCACCCGCAGGCUUCCUAUUGCUGAACCGCAGGUGAACACCAAGUUAAUUCUUCUCACUGGUAGGCUGAUAAACCCAAAGACAAGCUGCACACGAGGUUUUUCUACACUCCUCUAUUGGUGUAGCAGUCUCGCUGGUGUCCUCCAAAUGAGUAGUAUUUUCGUCAUCGACACUCGUUGAAGUCCGGCAAGAGUCUACGGUGGCUGAUAGUAGUGUCGUCCAUCACGGUGAGCUCUGCAACAGCUGCCCUUGUCCGGCCGCUACAAAAGCCCUCUACUUUCAGGUGCAUAAUUACCAGAACUGUUACAAGAUUAGCUCGGAUGUUUGAUUUUCCUUUUUUUUUGAAGUGGCAGUUUGCUAAAAUGACUGAGCAGUCGCUUUUCCCGGUACAUUCCUUUCCAUUUGGGUAUUUUUUUAAAUUGGUGGGAUUGUUGCUAAUUUUAUGGCCUUUGCGGUACAUUUGUAAUCUUUCUGAUCUGAGUAUACAGGAUAUUCUAAGAUUCACCUACUUGUGAAUAAUUUCAAUUGAAGUCGAGAGAACUCUGUGUGUUGUUAUGUGUAAAAAUUUCCUAUAGGUCAGAUCUUAUACUUAAAUUAGAUGCUAUUUAAUGAAAAUUAUCUUAUGACACGGGAUUUAAGUAUGAAUUAUGAAGACAAAAUAGUUCUGGUUUGGCCAUGAUUUAGUGUUUUUCCUGAUUACUUGAGUUUUUUUGUUUAUUGGAUGAACCAUAAUUGAGGCUUGUAAUGGAAAAAAGGCAAAAGCAAAUCUGGUAUUUUAGUUAGGAAUAUGUGUUGGUUUAGAGUGGUUGAAUGGCCAUUAUUUCCCUGUAAGAGCAUUUUUCGUAUUUGGAAUUCAUUUCUGGUUUAGAGUGAUUGAAGCUUGUAUAAGUCGCACCUCCUAGAUGUUGUGUGUAUGAAAUGGGAUGUUGUGUGUAUGGAACUUCCAAGUUUUCGAACUUUGCACUAUUUCUUGGUUUUUCUAUUGCAUUUUGUUCAGAGAAUUCAUACUGGAGGUUGGUCUGUUAGACAUCUUUAUUUAUUUAUUGGCCCUGUAGCAUGCAAUUAAUUUCACCAGGAUGAAUUUGCUAUUGUAUAUGCUGGUACUUUGAGAGUAAUUUCGUUUCCCCAGCCAAUGAAAGCUUUUAAAUUUUCUGGAGGUACUUGAGUAUUUAUUGCUUGUCGCCUGUUUAGUUGGUUGCUUUUUCUUAGGCCAUUAAUGGUACAAAUUUCUGCAGCUUAAACUAGCGAAUAAGAUGAUAGACUUGCAUGACAGAAUAGUUUUAAUCAUGUCAACAAGUUAUUUUUAUCGUCAAUAUCUGGUCUUAAAUGUUUGUUUUCCAGAUGAAGAUGUCAAUAUCUGUUUACAAACGAGUACAAUGUGCUGUUUGACCAUUUCUUUUAGUUGUAAAAACACUGGUUCUGGAUAUUAAGAUGUUUUUUUUCUUCUAUGCACAACCCUAUCUGUUCGGUCCAAGCAAUGCCAAAUGCUAAUGUGUUUUCACCGUAAUUAUAUACUAUGCCAAAUGCUAAUGUGUCUGUUGAAUUGAUUUGUUAUAUACUAUGGUAGCUUGACAUGGAAUUGACUGCAAAUAGCUAUCUUGGUUGAUUGUGGAAUUUUUCAUUUCUUUCUUUAGCUCAUUUUUCUGUUUUUUUUUUUAUAGAUUUAGGUAAUUUGGUGCUUAUUUCCAACAUUACUUAUCAUAGGCAUACAUUCUUCUGUCCACAGGUUUAUGCCGUCGUGCACUAGAUCCGUUUCUAGAGGUUUGUUUUGGGGUUUUUUUUCAACUUGCAUAUCAGAUUGUUAAGAAAUGGCUUGGCUAAUGUUUACUUUCGCUAACAGUCGGAAAACUCUUACUUCCUGAUCCUGUUACCACUAUUUGGUCCGAGUGUGGAGAGAACGACUUACAGCUUUCUAUCACCAAUUACUUCAAGGUAUUAUCUGACCAGUCUCUUUUUCCAACCCCGUCUAUAAUAUAAGAGUUAACUAUUUUGUGUGUCCUGUAUUGGGAUUGGCUAUCCUAUUUGUUCUUUGCUAUUAUUUAGACGUGAUUCACCUGUGUUAAUACUUCUAUUGCUAUAUAUGCAAUAAGAGAAUCCAUAGAUAAAUAUCUGUAUAAGAUUUUUGUUUACUUGCAUUGGGGCUAUAGAUAAAUUAGUGUUUACUUCCAUUGGGGCUAUACAUAAACUACUUGCAUUGGAUGCUAUAGAUGCCUUUCAAUUUCUGUUUAGCAUCCUUAAUUGCCAACUUUCGCUAAUCUAUUUGUCGUACAUAAAGUGUAAAAAAUCAAUGGCUGGCAAGGUUGGUUCAUCAAGGCAAGGUCGUGCCCAAUUUCCAAUAGAGCGAGAGCUUGAAUUUGCAGAAUACUUGGUUGAAAUUAAAUGGGAUAAUAGAAUGAACAAGGGCAACUUAAAGAGCGAGGUCUUCCCGGCAAUUGUUGAUGAAUUUGUCAAAAAAGGAUGCCACUUUGAUCCAAAUCAAAUCAAGGCGAAGUAUUAUGCAUUAAGGCAUCUGACACAAGAAUACAAUCACAUGCGGUUGAGGGUGACUGGGGCCGGAUGGGAUCCCCCUUUAGACUGUAACUAUGGACGAAAGCAAAUGGCAAGUUAUGAUUAAGGUAGAAAAUUAAUUUUUUGUAUUUCAUCAUAAGCUUAUAAAGUGUAAAAAGCUGUUUUUUAACAUCCUCUAAUGGCUAAUUUUUGGUGUUAAAUGUGUAGAAGAACCCAUCUUUUGAGACUUUCCACAACAAAGAUUGCCGUGUCUUCUACAUGUUAUCGGAGGUGUUUGACAAAAUGGAUACCAAAGGCAAUAUGCAAGGGAUUCAAAACCAGCCACCAGUUGACAUUAAUGAUGAGAUAAGGGCGAGGCAAAGUCAAGCAUAUCACAAUAUGGGUGGCCAGGCAUGGAGACACGUGGACCUGAUUGAUGAAAUGAUCCCUCCUAUGCCUCCAACUAGGAAAUCGGAUGCCAAACAUUCAAAGAGCAAAGGCAAAGGGAAAGGGAAGACUCUGGAAUCUUCAUUCGCCGGGACGGCGACCUCCGCCUGGUCUAAGUCGAACCUCCUACAAUAAUGCCAUAUCUUGGAUGGAUGCAACGUUUGCUUCCGAUCGGAGCACCUCCCAGAGCGUAGAUGCCCUACCACCCCCACCUGCUGCUACUCCAGCUCCUCCUCCUCCUCCAAAUUACGUGGAUGAUGACUCUUUCUCGGUGAUAAAGGCAGAUGCAGCCUUAAACAAAAUAGAAAGCUUGCCGGAUAAAGUAUUCAUUACAGCAGCUGUGAAGUUGGCUGAUUCCACGGACCAUCAGAGGAUGUUUCUGAGUCAAAAGAGUGAUGCUAGGAAACGGUUAUAUGCACUGAGUAUUGGGGGGCGAACUAGAUGAUUGAGACCUGCAUGUGCCUAGAGGUUCAUCUCCAGUUGGAAGGCUAUAAGUUGCAUGUUUUAAUGUAAAAUAUUUGUAUUUGUGAUUGAAGGAUGCUAGUUUUCCCUGUUGGGAAACGAACUUGCACUGGGGUUGUCUUAUUUCAUAGUUUGGAUCAUUUCAAGAUGAUUUGAUAAACUUUCGGCAUUUCGAAUAUGCACUUUUUGAGAGAAUUAAUAAUAAAUAGGAUUUCUACUUUAAUAUAA